UACGGAGGGAGCUAGCGUUGUUCGGAAAUACUGGGCGUAAAGAGAACGUAGGCGGCUUAGUAAGUCAGAGGUGAAAUCCCAGGGCUCAACCCUGGAACUGCCUUUGAAACUACUAAACUAGAAUCCUGGAGAGGUCAGUGGAAUUCCGAGUGUAGAGGUGAAAUUCGUAGAUAUUCGGAAGAACACCAGUGGCGAAGGCGACUGACUGGACAGGUAUUGACGCUGAGGUUCGAAAGCGUGGGGAGCAAACAGG
Molecule: ribosomal RNA, 253 nt
Filed under: uncultured bacterium
Lineage: Bacteria
Description: partial 16S ribosomal RNA
Rfam family: Bacterial small subunit ribosomal RNA
Source: RNAcentral